GACGAACGCUGGCGGCGUGCUUAACACAUGCAAGUCGAACGGAAAGGCCCUGCUUUUGUGGGGUGCUCGAGUGGCGAACGGGUGAGUAACACGUGAGUAACCUGCCCUUGACUUUGGGAUAACUUCAGGAAACUGGGGCUAAUACCGGAUAGGAGCUCCUGCUGCAUGGUGGGGGUUGGAAAGUUUCGGCGGUUGGGGAUGGACUCGCGGCUUAUCAGCUUGUUGGUGGGGUAGUGGCUUACCAAGGCUUUGACGGGUAGCCGGCCUGAGAGGGUGACCGGCCACAUUGGGACUGAGAUACGGCCCAGACUCCUACGGGAGGCAGCAGUGGGGAAUAUUGCACAAUGGGCGGAAGCCUGAUGCAGCAACGCCGCGUGCGGGAUGACGGCCUUCGGGUUGUAAACCGCUUUCGCCUGUGACGAAGCGUGAGUGACGGUAAUGGGUAAAGAAGCACCGGCUAACUACGUGCCAGCAGCCGCGGUGAUACGUAGGGUGCGAGCGUUGUCCGGAUUUAUUGGGCGUAAAGGGCUCGUAGGUGGUUGAUCGCGUCGGAAGUGUAAUCUUGGGGCUUAACCCUGAGCGUGCUUUCGAUACGGGUUGACUUGAGGAAGGUAGGGGAGAAUGGAAUUCCUGGUGGAGCGGUGGAAUGCGCAGAUAUCAGGAGGAACACCAGUGGCGAAGGCGGUUCUCUGGGCCUUUCCUGACGCUGAGGAGCGAAAGCGUGGGGAGCGAACAGGCUUAGAUACCCUGGUAGUCCACGCUGUAAACGGUGGGUACUAGGUGUGGGGUCCAUUCCACGGGUUCCGUGCCGUAGCUAACGCUUUAAGUACCCCGCCUGGGGAGUACGGCCGCAAGGCUAAAACUCAAAGGAAUUGACGGGGCCCCGCACAAGCGGCGGAGCAUGCGGAUUAAUUCGAUGCAACGCGUAGAACCUUACCUGGGUUUGACAUGGAUCGGGAGUGCUCAGAGAUGGGUGUGCCUCUUUUGGGGUCGGUUCACAGGUGGUGCAUGGCUGUCGUCAGCUCGUGUCGUGAGAUGUUGGGUUAAGUCCCGCAACGAGCGCAACCCUUGUUCACUGUUGCCAGCACGUUACGGUGGGGACUCAGUGGAGACCGCCGGGGUCAACUCGGAGGAAGGUGGGGAUGACGUCAAGUCAUCAUGCCCCUUAUGUCCAGGGCUUCACGCAUGCUACAAUGGCUGGUACAGAGAGUGGCGAGCCUGUGAGGGUGAGCGAAUCUCGGAAAGCGGGUCUCAGUUCGGAUUGGGGUCUGCAACUCGACCUCAUGAAGUCGGAGUCGCUAGUAAUCGCAGAUCAGCAACGCUGCGGUGAAUACGUUCCCGGGGCU
This 1346-nucleotide ribosomal RNA is filed under the name uncultured bacterium. RNAcentral describes it as "partial 16S ribosomal RNA". It matches the Rfam family "Bacterial small subunit ribosomal RNA", at positions 28 to 1381 of the family's 1533-position model. The record is from RNAcentral.